This 1432-nucleotide ribosomal RNA is filed under the name metagenome. RNAcentral describes it as "bacterial SSU rRNA". It matches the Rfam family "Archaeal small subunit ribosomal RNA". The record is from RNAcentral.
UCCCGUUGAUCCUGCGGGAGAUUGCUGCUAUCAGAGUUUGACUAAGGCAUGCAAGUUCAAGGGUCGCAAGACACUGGCAAACUGCUCAGUAACACGUCAAUAAUCUGCCCUUAGGUCUGGAAUAACCUCGGGAAACUGAGGCUAAUAUCGGAUAUGGGAUUAUUUCUGGAAUGAAGUUUCCCUUAAAGAUUUACGUCUAAGGAUGAGUUGGCGGCCGAUUAGGUUGUUGGUGGUGUAAAGGACCACCAAGCCAGCGAUCGGUAGGGGUCUUGAGAGAGAUAGCCCCGAGAAGGACACUGAGACACAGGCCCUAGCCCCACGGGGUGCAGCAGCCGCGAAACCUUUACAAUGCACGAAAGUGUGAUAAGGUAACUCUGAGUGCUUAUCUUUUGGUAAGCUUUUGCCAAGAGUAAAUAUCUUGGCGAAUAAGUGGUGGGCAAGACUGGUGCCAGCCGCCGCGGUAACACCAGCGCCACAAGUGGGAAUCAUGAUUAUUGGGCCUAAAGCGUCCGUAGCCGGCUUAGCAAGUCUUUUGUGAAAUCGUUGAUUUGAAUUUAACGGCGUGCAAAAGAAAACUGUUAAACUUGGAACCAGGAGGAGUCAGAAGUAUUUUUGAGGUAGCGGUAAAAUGUUAUAAUCUCAAAAGGACUACCGGUGGCGAAGGCGUCUGACUAGAAUGGAUUCGACGGUGAGGGACGAAAGCCAGGGGAGCAAUCCGGAUUAGAUACCCGAGUAGUCCUGGCCGUAAACGCUGCGAGCUAGGUGUUGCACAUUCUCCGUGAAUGUGCAGUAUCGAAGCGAAGGUGCUAAGCUCGCCGCCUGGGAAGUAUGGUCGCAAGACUGAAACUUAAAGGAAUUGGCGGGGGAGCACUACAAGGGGUGCGGCGUGCGGUUUAAUCUAACUCAACGCAGAAAAUCUCACCAGGAGCGACGGCAGGAUGAAAGUCAGAUUAAAGGUUUUACUUGACGAGCCGAGAGGUAGCGCAUGGCCGUCGUCAGCUCGUGCCGUAAGGUGUCCUGUUAAGUCAGGUAACGAGCGAGACCUGCACUCACAAUUGCUAACAAGUCGUUAGAUGAUUGAGCACAUUGUGAGGACUGCCUUGGAAACAAGGAGGAAGGUGCAGGCUACGAUAGGUCUGUAUGCUCCGAAUCUUCUGGGCUACACGCGCGCAACAAUGGUAAGGACAAUGGGAUGCAACUCCGAAAGGAGAAGCUAAUCCUUCAAACCUUAUCCCAGUCCAGAUUGAGGGUUGAAACUCAUCCUCAUGACGUUGGAAUCCCUAGUAAUCGGAAUUCAAUAUAUUCCGGUGAAUAUGUCCCUGCUCCUUGCACACACCGCCCGUCAAACCACCCGAGUAGGGUUUAGAUGAGGCUUAAUUUUUAAUUAUGUCGAAUCUAAGCUUUGCGAAGAGGGUUAAGUCGUCACAAGGUA